AUUGAACGCUGGCGGCAGGCUUAACACAUGCAAGUCGAGCGGAGACUUCGGUCUUAGCGGCGAACGGGUGAGUAAUACCUAGGAAUCUGCCUAUUAGUGGGGGAUAACGAAUCGAAAGGUUCGCUAAUACCGCAUACGUCCUACGGGANAAAGGGGGGGAUCUUCGGGACCUCUCGCUAAUAGAUGAGCCUAGGCCGGAUUAGCUAGUUGGUAGGGUAAAGGCCUACCAAGGCGACGAUCUGUAGCUGGUCUGAGAGGAUGGCCAGCCACACUGAAACUGAGACACGGUCCAGACUCCUACGGGAGGCAGCAGUGGGGAAUAUUGGACAAUGGGGGCAACCCUGAUCCAGCCAUGCCGCGUGUGUGAAGAAGGCCUUCGGGUUGUAAACUGCUUUUGUCAGGGAAGAAAUCUUCUGGGUUAAUACCUCGGGAGGAUGACGGUACCUGAAGAAUAAGCACCGGCUAACUACGUG
This 473-nucleotide ribosomal RNA is filed under the name uncultured bacterium. RNAcentral's name for it is "bacterial SSU rRNA". It matches the Rfam family "Bacterial small subunit ribosomal RNA", at positions 30 to 507 of the family's 1533-position model. The record is from RNAcentral.